Molecule: ribosomal RNA, 182 nt
Filed under: Priestia megaterium
Lineage: Bacteria; Bacillati; Bacillota; Bacilli; Caryophanales; Bacillaceae
Description: Bacillus megaterium partial 16S ribosomal RNA
Rfam family: Bacterial small subunit ribosomal RNA
Source: RNAcentral
UUUUAAGUCUGAUGUGAAAGCCCACGGCUCAACCGUGGAGGGUCAUUGGAAACUGGGGAACUUGAGUGCAGAAGAGAAAAGCGGAAUUCCACGUGUAGCGGUGAAAUGCGUAGAGAUGUGGAGGAACACCAGUGGCGAAGGCGGCUUUUUGGUCUGUAACUGACGCUGAGGCGUGAAAGCGU